RNAcentral lists this ribosomal RNA (2918 nucleotides) under Klebsiella pneumoniae. RNAcentral's name for it is "23S ribosomal RNA". It matches the Rfam family "Bacterial large subunit ribosomal RNA". The record is from RNAcentral. Lineage: Bacteria; Pseudomonadati; Pseudomonadota; Gammaproteobacteria; Enterobacterales; Enterobacteriaceae.
GGGUUGUGAGGUUAAGCGACUAAGCGUACACGGUGGAUGCCCUGGCAGUCAGAGGCGAUGAAGGACGUGCUAAUCUGCGAAAAGCGUCGGUAAGGUGAUAUGAACCGUUAUAACCGGCGAUGUCCGAAUGGGGAAACCCAGUGCAAUUCGUUGCACUAUCGUUAACUGAAUACAUAGGUUAACGAGGCGAACCGGGGGAACUGAAACAUCUAAGUACCCCGAGGAAAAGAAAUCAACCGAGAUUCCCCCAGUAGCGGCGAGCGAACGGGGAGCAGCCCAGAGUCUGAAUCAGCUUGUGUGUUAGUGGAACGGUCUGGAAAGUCCGACGGUACAGGGUGAUAGUCCCGUACACCAAAAUGCACAGGCUGUGAACUCGAAGAGUAGGGCGGGACACGUGGUAUCCUGUCUGAAUAUGGGGGGACCAUCCUCCAAGGCUAAAUACUCCUGACUGACCGAUAGUGAACCAGUACCGUGAGGGAAAGGCGAAAAGAACCCCGGCGAGGGGAGUGAAAAGAACCUGAAACCGUGUACGUACAAGCAGUGGGAGCACCUUCGGGUGUGACUGCGUACCUUUUGUAUAAUGGGUCAGCGACUUAUAUUCUGUAGCAAGGUUAACCGUAUAGGGAGCCGCAGGGAAACCGAGUCUUAACUGGGCGUUAAGUUGCAGGGUAUAGACCCGAAACCCGGUGAUCUAGCCAUGGGCAGGUUGAAGGUUGGGUAACACUAACUGGAGGACCGAACCGACUAAUGUUGAAAAAUUAGCGGAUGACUUGUGGCUGGGGGUGAAAGGCCAAUCAAACCGGGAGAUAGCUGGUUCUCCCCGAAAGCUAUUUAGGUAGCGCCUCGUGAACUCAUCUUCGGGGUAGAGCACUGUUUCGGCUAGGGGGUCAUCCCGACUUACCAACCCGAUGCAAACUACGAAUACCGAAGAAUGUUAUCACGGGAGACACACGGCGGGUGCUAACGUCCGUCGUGAAGAGGGAAACAACCCAGACCGCCAGCUAAGGUCCCAAAGUCAUGGUUAAGUGGGAAACGAUGUGGGAAGGCACAGACAGCCAGGAUGUUGGCUUAGAAGCAGCCAUCAUUUAAAGAAAGCGUAAUAGCUCACUGGUCGAGUCGGCCUGCGCGGAAGAUGUAACGGGGCUAAACCAUGCACCGAAGCUGCGGCAGCGACACUAUGUGUUGUUGGGUAGGGGAGCGUUCUGUAAGCCUGCGAAGGUGUGCUGUGAGGCAUGCUGGAGGUAUCAGAGUGCGAAUGCUGACAUAAGUAACGAUAAAGCGGGUGAAAAGCCCGCUCGCCGGAAGACCAAGGGUUCCUGUCCAACGUUAAUCGGGGCAGGGUGAGACGACCCUAAGGCGAGGCCGAAAGGCGUAGUCGAUGGGAAACAGGUUAAUAUUCCUGUACUUGGUGUUACUGCGAAGGGGGGACGGAGAAGGCUAUGUUAGCCGGGCGACGGUUGUCCCGGUUUAAGCAUGUAGGCUGAUUGUCCAGGCAAAUCCGGAUAAUCAAGGCUGAGGUGUGAUGACGAGGCACUACGGUGCUGAAGUAACAAAUGCCCUGCUUCCAGGAAAAGCCUCUAAGCAUCAGGUAACAUCAAAUCGUACCCCAAACCGACACAGGUGGUCAGGUAGAGAAUACCAAGGCGCUUGAGAGAACUCGGGUGAAGGAACUAGGCAAAAUGGUGCCGUAACUUCGGGAGAAGGCACGCUGGUGUGUAGGUGAAGUCCCUGCGGAUGGAGCUGAGACCAGUCGAAGAUACCAGCUGGCUGCAACUGUUUAUUAAAAACACAGCACUGUGCAAACACGAAAGUGGACGUAUACGGUGUGACGCCUGCCCGGUGCCGGAAGGUUAAUUGAUGGGGUUAUCCGUAAGGAGAAGCUCUUGAUCGAAGCCCCGGUAAACGGCGGCCGUAACUAUAACGGUCCUAAGGUAGCGAAAUUCCUUGUCGGGUAAGUUCCGACCUGCACGAAUGGCGUAAUGAUGGCCAGGCUGUCUCCACCCGAGACUCAGUGAAAUUGAACUCGCUGUGAAGAUGCAGUGUACCCGCGGCAAGACGGAAAGACCCCGUGAACCUUUACUAUAGCUUGACACUGAACAUUGAGCCUUGAUGUGUAGGAUAGGUGGGAGGCUUUGAAGCGUGGACGCCAGUCUGCGUGGAGCCAACCUUGAAAUACCACCCUUUAAUGUUUGAUGUUCUAACGUUGGCCCCUGACCGGGGUUGCGGACAGUGUCUGGUGGGUAGUUUGACUGGGGCGGUCUCCUCCCAAAGCGUAACGGAGGAGCACGAAGGUUAGCUAAUCCUGGUCGGACAUCAGGAGGUUAGUGCAAUGGCAUAAGCUAGCUUGACUGCGAGCGUGACGGCGCGAGCAGGUGCGAAAGCAGGUCAUAGUGAUCCGGUGGUUCUGAAUGGAAGGGCCAUCGCUCAACGGAUAAAAGGUACUCCGGGGAUAACAGGCUGAUACCGCCCAAGAGUUCAUAUCGACGGCGGUGUUUGGCACCUCGAUGUCGGCUCAUCACAUCCUGGGGCUGAAGUAGGUCCCAAGGGUAUGGCUGUUCGCCAUUUAAAGUGGUACGCGAGCUGGGUUUAGAACGUCGUGAGACAGUUCGGUCCCUAUCUGCCGUGGGCGCUGGAGAAUUGAGGGGGGCUGCUCCUAGUACGAGAGGACCGGAGUGGACGCAUCACUGGUGUUCGGGUUGUCAUGCCAAUGGCACUGCCCGGUAGCUAAAUGCGGAAGAGAUAAGUGCUGAAAGCAUCUAAGCACGAAACUUGCCCCGAGAUGAGUUCUCCCUGAGACUUUAAGUCUCCUGAAGGAACGUUAAAGACGAUGACGUUGAUAGGCCGGGUGUGUAAGCGCAGCGAUGCGUUGAGCUAACCGGUACUAAUGAACCGUGAGGCUUAACCUUACAACGCCGAAG